Molecule: long non-coding RNA, 1010 nt
Filed under: Anas platyrhynchos platyrhynchos (common mallard)
Lineage: Eukaryota; Metazoa; Chordata; Aves; Anseriformes; Anatidae
Description: lncRNA (ENSAPLG00000028970.1)
Source: RNAcentral
CCUGCAAUUUAUUAUUUUGCAUGCUUUCAGACAAGUGCUGUAGGACUUAAAUUAUGCACAUCAGGAACAGUCCCUCUCACACUUGCAUAGUGGCUUGAGCAAAGUUCUUAGGUUUUGUGGCUAAAACUAUGCUGUCUUUCACUGCAACAACUGUAUUUUCACUUUCUUUCCAUCUAUUAUUCACAUCGUAAACAUCUGCAUUGUAAACGUCAGAUGUACUAAUUGUCAUGUCUCUGGCUCCGGGUAUUAAGCCCUACUCUUUUGAAUUAAAAGCAAUAUAUAUAUAUCUAUGUAUCUUUUUUUUUUUUUUUCUAUUAAUAUCUCAAAAUGCAUGUCCCUUUAUUUUUUGAGCAGGCACUGGGGCUUUCGCAGCUAUCUCUUACGCUGUAUUUUUUUACGCUUUGGAAAAGCCUUCGUGAAAUCUUUUCCUGCUGCAGAUUUUGGCUGCACGGACACACAGGAGGAAGGUGAGCUGAUUCAUCAGCCCCGCGUUAGAGGCACAUAAUGGAAUAUAAUGGAAGGGGAAAGACUAAUAGCAGAGGAGCAGAAAAAGUGGAAAUCCACAGCUUUCUAGGAUCUCCUUAAAGAUUGUCCCGGAAGAAAGCCAAAACAUUAACUUUGCAUUCAUCGUAUAAAUAAGGGUAUUUUUAAAAAUUCUAUCUACAGAGACACACGCACACUGGGUUGGAGCCUUGUCUAACUCUUCGGUGCGCUGCUGCAACUCCAUUAAAACAGCAACAACAUGCUAGUAUGGAAACUAAUGUAAGAUCUUCUAUGGGUGAUUAUGGACAAACAGAAUCAGAUCAGCCAGAUAUUUGCAUCCUUCCAGGGACAACUGGCAAUCGGAAGAUUGAGCUUGCUAUUUAUAGCAAAUUUGAGGGACAGCCUGUGGGCUGGUGUGCAAAUCAGCAUUCCCAAUGCAAAUGAAAGCCAAUUGCCACAGCCACUAUUGGUUGGAAAAGAGUUGUCUCGGAAAUUUUUAACAAAUGCAAAACAACAUUUUUUCUCUC